UACGUAGGGUGCUAGCGUUGUCCGGAAUCAUUGGGCGUAAAGAGCGUGUAGGCGGCUUGGUAAGUCCGCUGUGAAAGUCCAGGGCUUAACCCUGGAAAGCCAGUGGAAACUGUCAAGCUAGAGUCCGGAAGAGGUGAGUGGAACUCCUGGUGUAGCGGUGAAAUGCGCAGAUAUCAGGAAGAACACCAAUGGCGAAGGCAGCUCACUGGGACGGUACUGACGCUGAGACGCGAAAGCGUGGGGAGCAAACAGG
This 253-nucleotide ribosomal RNA is filed under the name uncultured bacterium. RNAcentral's name for it is "partial 16S ribosomal RNA". It matches the Rfam family "Bacterial small subunit ribosomal RNA", at positions 524 to 776 of the family's 1533-position model. The record is from RNAcentral.